This 71-nucleotide transfer RNA is filed under the name Bos taurus (domestic cattle). It matches the Rfam family "tRNA". Rfam says of the family: Transfer RNA (tRNA) molecules are approximately 80 nucleotides in length. Their secondary structure includes four short double-helical elements and three loops (D, anti-codon, and T loops). RNAcentral also lists the same sequence under 4 other names. The record is from Rfam by way of RNAcentral. Lineage: Eukaryota; Metazoa; Chordata; Mammalia; Artiodactyla; Bovidae.
UCCUUGGCAGCUCAGUGGUAAAGAAUCUGCCUGUGAUGCAGGAGACCCAGGUUCGAUUCCUGGGUUGGGAA